Molecule: transfer RNA, 57 nt
Filed under: Grillotia pristiophori
Lineage: Eukaryota; Metazoa; Platyhelminthes; Cestoda; Trypanorhyncha; Lacistorhynchidae
Description: tRNA-Ser
Source: RNAcentral
ACUAAAGGAAUCUACUAAGUUACUGCUAAUAAUUUAUUGUCAGUUGAGCCUGACUUC